AGCAGCGGCACGGCCCCCCCUCCCUACAUAAGGUAAGAAGGGAGGGGGGAUAUUAAGUAAUGUACCCCCACAAUCACCCACACACAUACAGCACACACACCCACACACACAGCACCUACACACAUACAGACACACAGCACCCACACACAUACAGCACCCACACACACAGCGCACACACAUACAGCACCAGCACCCACACACAGCACACACAUACAGCACCCUCACACACAUACAGC
This is a non-coding RNA of Pelobates cultripes (western spadefoot toad), 236 nucleotides long. NCBI's taxonomy places the organism in Eukaryota, Metazoa, Chordata, Amphibia, Anura, Pelobatidae. The record is from the annotation of a GenBank genome assembly.